UCAGGGUGAGACCAGCAGGCUGAGAUCAGAGCUGCUGCCCUGUUUGAACAGAAUCUGAACCGUCACCUGGACAGGUGGACAGAAAUCACCUGCAGACACACAGGAGACCUGCUGCUCUCUGAUUGGCYGCUUCAUCAGCUCAGGUGCAUCAGCUCCAGUUGAAUCUGACUCCAUCAGAUGAGCCCCCCAGCAGGGUCCAAGAUGCCCAUCAGGACCUUGUAGGAUCAGCAGURAACAGGUAGAACACACCUGAGCUGUUACCUGCACAUCCAGCACCAGACUGGAAACAUCAGGGGUCAAAGGUUAAGCGAUCAGGAAGUGACCUGCACCUGCAGCCAGGCCAGCAUGACAUCAGCAGCUCACAGGAAGUGACCUCAUUCGUCAGGAGCGCAGAUUCUCACAGAACACCGCUGACAUCAUGGGACUGAUCACCCAAAGCAAACACACCUGCAGAGCCUCUUCCUCCUCCUCUUCCUCAGAUGA
Molecule: long non-coding RNA, 483 nt
Organism: Austrofundulus limnaeus
Lineage: Eukaryota; Metazoa; Chordata; Actinopteri; Cyprinodontiformes; Rivulidae
Exons: 3
Source: RefSeq, a predicted model, not a curated record